Molecule: small RNA, 379 nt
Filed under: Arsenophonus endosymbiont of Bemisia tabaci Q2
Lineage: Bacteria; Pseudomonadati; Pseudomonadota; Gammaproteobacteria; Enterobacterales; Morganellaceae
Description: cspA
Rfam family: cspA thermoregulator
Source: RNAcentral
UUUCGGGAUUAACAAUCUCUUUUUAUUAGUGAAAAUUUUAAGUAAUUCAAAAUCUAGCGAUAUCACAAUACCUCUUCAUUAAUGAGUUCCUUCUGAUUAAAUACCAUUAGUAAAAUCAUGUUAAUCUUUGAGAUUUUUGAUUAAUUAACAAAAUUAAGGAACUUAUAUGUCAAGCAUUAAUACAGGUAUUGUUAAGUGGUUUAACGCGGAUAAAGGUUUUGGGUUUAUUUCACCCAAAAAUGGUAGUCAGGAUGUGUUUGUUCAUUAUUCUGCCAUUCAGGGUAAUGACUAUAAAACCCUCCAUGAAGGGCAGGAAGUGAAUUUUUCAGUCGAAAGCGGCCAUAAAGGACCUUCUGCAACUAAUGUGAUAGCGUUAUCG